Molecule: ribosomal RNA, 1378 nt
Filed under: Variovorax paradoxus
Lineage: Bacteria; Pseudomonadati; Pseudomonadota; Betaproteobacteria; Burkholderiales; Comamonadaceae
Description: partial 16S ribosomal RNA
Rfam family: Bacterial small subunit ribosomal RNA
Source: RNAcentral
AGAGUUUGAUCAUGGCUCAGAUUGAACGCUGGCGGCAUGCCUUACACAUGCAAGUCGAACGGCAGCGCGGGAGCAAUCCUGGCGGCGAGUGGCGAACGGGUGAGUAAUACAUCGGAACGUGCCCAAUCGUGGGGGAUAACGCAGCGAAAGCUGUGCUAAUACCGCAUACGAUCUACGGAUGAAAGCAGGGGAUCGCAAGACCUUGCGCGAAUGGAGCGGCCGAUGGCAGAUUAGGUAGUUGGUGAGGUAAAGGCUCACCAAGCCUUCGAUCUGUAGCUGGUCUGAGAGGACGACCAGCCACACUGGGACUGAGACACGGCCCAGACUCCUACGGGAGGCAGCAGUGGGGAAUUUUGGACAAUGGGCGAAAGCCUGAUCCAGCCAUGCCGCGUGCAGGAUGAAGGCCUUCGGGUUGUAAACUGCUUUUGUACGGAACGAAACGGCUCUUUCUAAUAAAGAGGGCUAAUGACGGUACCGUAAGAAUAAGCACCGGCUAACUACGUGCCAGCAGCCGCGGUAAUACGUAGGGUGCAAGCGUUAAUCGGAAUUACUGGGCGUAAAGCGUGCGCAGGCGGUAAUGUAAGACAGGUGGUGAAAUCCCCGGGCUCACCCUGGGAACUGCAUCUGUGACUGCAUUGCUGGAGUACGGCAGAGGGGGAUGGAGUCAACUGGUUGUGGGUUCUUCACCUACUCAGGUACGGAGGCUACCGCUGGAAGUUGACCGCCUGGGAGUACCGCCGCAGGUUGGACCUCAAGGGAAUGACGGGGACCCGCACAAGCGUUGGAUGAUGUGUUUUAUUCGAUGCAACGCGAAAACCUUACCNACUUUUGACAUGUACGGAAUUCGCCAGAGAUGGCUUAGUGCUCGAAAGAGAACCGUAACACAGGUGCUGCAUGGCUGUCGUCAGCUCGUGUCGUGAGAUGUUGGGUUAAGUCCCGCAACGAGCGCAACCCUUGUCAUUAGUUGCUACAUUUAGUUGGGCACUCUAAUGAGACUGCCGGUGACAAACCGGAGGAAGGUGGGGAUGACGUCAAGUCCUCAUGGCCCUUAUAGGUGGGGCUACACACGUCAUACAAUGGCUGGUACAAAGGGUUGCCCACCCGCGAGGGGGAGCUAAUCCCAUAAAACCAGUCGUAGUCCGGAUCGCAGUCUGCAACUCGACUGCGUGAAGUCGGAAUCGCUAGUAAUCGUGGAUCAGAAUGUCACGGUGAAUACGUUCCCGGGUCUUGUACACACCGCCCGUCACACCAUGGGAGCGGGUUCUGCCAGAAGUAGUUAGCCUAACCGCAAGGAGGGCGAUUACCACGGCAGGGUUCGUGACUGGGGUGAAGUCGUAACAAGGUAGCCGUAUCGGAAGGUGCGGUUGGAUCACCUCCU